GAUGAAGAACGUAGUGAAAUGCGAUACUUGGUGUGAAUUGCAGAAUCCCGUGAACCAUCGAGUCUUUGAACGCAAGUUGCGCCCGAAGCCAUCAGGUUGAGGGCACGUCUGCCUGGGCGUCACAUAUCGUUGCCCAAUGCCUAUUGCAGUGCAAUAGGAAUUUCUAGGGCGAAUGAUGGCUUCCCGUGAGCGUUGUUGCCUCGCGGUUGGUUGAAAAUCGAGUCCUUGGUAGGGUGUGCCAUGGUAGAUGGUGGUCGAGUUAGAACGAUACCGAUCAUGUGCAUGCUCCCCAAAAUAUGGCCUCUAUGACCCACACGCGUCUUUCGACGCUCAUGACGAGACCUCAGGUCAGGCGGGGCUACCCGCUGAAUUUAAGCAUAUCAAUAAGCGGAGGA
RNAcentral lists this unclassified non-coding RNA (395 nucleotides) under soil metagenome. RNAcentral's name for it is "partial contains 5.8S ribosomal RNA, internal transcribed spacer 2, and large subunit ribosomal RNA". The stretch from base 1 to 122 matches the Rfam family "5.8S ribosomal RNA", at positions 35 to 154 of the family's 154-position model. The record is from RNAcentral.